Molecule: ribosomal RNA, 377 nt
Filed under: uncultured eukaryote
Lineage: Eukaryota
Description: partial 18S ribosomal RNA
Rfam family: Eukaryotic small subunit ribosomal RNA
Source: RNAcentral
CAAUAGCGUAUAUUUAAGUUGCUGCAGUUAAAAAGUUCGUAGUUGGAUUUCGGGUGGGAAUGGCCGGUCCGCCGUUUCGGUGUGCACUUGCUACGCCCACCUUGCUGCCGGGGACGUGCUCUUGAGUUCACGCUCGGGACACGGAGUCGGCGAGGUUACUUUGAGUAAAUUAGAGUGUUCAAAGCAGGCCUACGCUCUGAAUACAUUAGCAUGGAAUAACACGAUAGGACUCUGGCCUAUCUUGUUGGUCUGUAGGACCGGAGUAAUGAUUAAGAGGGACGGUCGGGGGCAUUCGUAUUUCAUUGUCAGAGGUGAAAUUCUUGGAUUUAUGAAAGACGAACUACUGCGAAAGCAUUUGCCAAGGAUGUUUUCAUUAA